RNAcentral lists this unclassified non-coding RNA (224 nucleotides) under Pucciniastrum circaeae. Its description in RNAcentral is "ITS1". The record is from RNAcentral. Lineage: Eukaryota; Fungi; Basidiomycota; Pucciniomycetes; Pucciniales; Pucciniastraceae.
UUAGAAUCAAGGGUGCACUUUAUUGUGACUCUCUUUUAUAAUUUAAACCAUCUUUAAACCCAAAACUGUCUGGUGUGCUUUAACGAGUAUAGCUUUUCAGUAGUACGCAUCAGGGACUUUAUUGUUCAAGUUGCAUUACCCCCCCUCAUAAGUGACCCCCCUUAUUUUUUGAAACCAUUACCCUUACAAGAAAGUUUUAAGAAUGUGAAAAAAUGGAAAUAUAU